This 497-nucleotide ribosomal RNA is filed under the name uncultured bacterium. RNAcentral's name for it is "partial 16S ribosomal RNA". It matches the Rfam family "Bacterial small subunit ribosomal RNA", at positions 28 to 507 of the family's 1533-position model. The record is from RNAcentral.
GAUGAACGCUGGCGGCGUGCCUAAUACAUGCAAGUCGAGCGAACGGACGAGAAGCUUGCUUCUCUGAUGUUAGCGGCGGACGGGUGAGUAACACGUGGAUAACCUACCUAUAAGACUGGGAUAACUUCGGGAAACCGUAGCUAAUACCGGAUAAUCUUUUGAACCGCAUGGUUCAAAAGUGAAAGACGGUCUUGCUGUCACUUAUAGAUGGAUCCGCGCUGCAUUAGCUAGUUGGUAAGGUAACGGCUUACCAAGGCAACGAUGCAUAGCCGACCUGAGAGGGGGAUCGGCCACACUGGAACUGAGACACGGUCCAGGCUCCUACGGGAGGCAGCAGUAGGGAAUCUUCCGCAAUGGGCGAAAGCCUGACGGAGCAACGCCGCGUGAGUGAUGAAGGUCUUCGGAUCGUAAAACUCUGUUAUUAGGGAAGAACAUAUGUGUAAGUAACUGUGCACAUCUUGACGGUACCUAAUCAGAAAGCCACGGCUAACUACGUG